Molecule: long non-coding RNA, 202 nt
Filed under: Gossypium barbadense (sea-island cotton)
Lineage: Eukaryota; Viridiplantae; Streptophyta; Magnoliopsida; Malvales; Malvaceae
Description: long non-coding RNA (GBAR_LNC017065)
Source: RNAcentral
UGAUACGAGCCAAGGAGGUGACACUCAAGGGGUUGUUUUUCUUAGUGGUCCAAUCACUCGAAGCAAGACACGACAAUUAAAAUCAAAGAUGAAUGCUUUUGUCCAAGACUUUGUUGCUACAAAUUUAAGUCAUCAUGUUCGUGACGUUGACAAAUACGGGAAUGCAAUUCACUGGACCAAUCUUGGAAUAGUGAAAGCCCAU